AUUGAACGCUGGCGGCAGGCCUAACACAUGCAAGUCGAGCGGAUGAAGGGAGCUUGCUCCUGGAUUCAGCGGCGGACGGGUGAGUAAUGCCUAGGAAUCUGCCUGGUAGUGGGGGAUAACGUCCGGAAACGGGCGCUAAUACCGCAUACGUCCUGAGGGAGCAAGUGGGGGAUCUUCGGACCUCACGCUAUCAGAUGAGCCUAGGUCGGAUUAGCUAGUUGGUGGGUUAAAGGCCUACCAAGGCGACGAUCCGUAACUGGUCUGAGAGGAUGAUCAGUCACACUGGAACUGAGACACGGUCCAGACUCCUACGGGAGGCAGCAGUGGGGAAUAUUGGACAAUGGGCGAAAGCCUGAUCCAGCCAUGCCGCGUGUGUGAAGAAGGUCUUCGGAUUGUAAAGCACUUUAAGUUGGGAGGAAGGGCAGUAAGUUAAUACCUUGCUGUUUUGACGUUACCAACAGAAUAAGCACCGGCUAACUUCGUG
This 484-nucleotide ribosomal RNA is filed under the name uncultured bacterium. RNAcentral's name for it is "partial 16S ribosomal RNA". It matches the Rfam family "Bacterial small subunit ribosomal RNA", at positions 30 to 507 of the family's 1533-position model. The record is from RNAcentral.